CCUACGGGUGGCAGCAGUGGGGAAUAUUGGGCAAUGGGCGCAAGCCUGACCCAGCAACGCCGCGUGAAGGAAGAAGGCUUUCGGGUUGUAAACUUCUUUUCUCAGGGACGCAGAAAGUGACGGUACCUGAGGAAUAAGCCACGGCUAACUACGUGCCAGCAGCCGCGGUAAUACGGAGGUGGCAAGCGUUAUCCGGAUUUAGUGGGUGUAAAGGGCGUGUAGGCGGGAGCGCAAGUCAGAUGUGAAAACUCAGGGCUCAACCCUGAUCCUGCAGUGGAAACUGGGUUUCUUGAGUGCUGGAGAGGCAAGCGGAAUUCCGGGUGUAGCGGUGAAAUGCAUAGAUAUACGGAGGAACACCAGUGGCGAAGGCGGAUUGCUGGACUGUAACUGACGUUGAGGCACGAAAGCGUGGGGAGCGAACAGGAUUAGAUACCCCUGUAGUA
RNAcentral lists this ribosomal RNA (443 nucleotides) under uncultured bacterium. RNAcentral's name for it is "partial 16S ribosomal RNA". It matches the Rfam family "Bacterial small subunit ribosomal RNA", at positions 338 to 795 of the family's 1533-position model. The record is from RNAcentral.